UACCUACGGGAGGCAGCAGUGGGGAAUAUUGGGCAAUGGGCGCAAGCCUGACCCAGCAACGCCGCGUGAAGGAAGAAGGCUUUCGGGUUGUAAACUUCUUUUAUCAGGGACGAAGCAAGUGACGGUACCUGAUGAAUAAGCCACGGCUAACUACGUGCCAGCAGCCGCGGUAAUACGUAGGGGGCAAGCGUUAUCCGGUUUUUCUGGGUGUAAAGGGCGUGUAGGCGGGUGUGCAAGUCAGGUGUGCAAACUAUUGG
RNAcentral lists this ribosomal RNA (257 nucleotides) under uncultured bacterium. RNAcentral describes it as "partial 16S ribosomal RNA". It matches the Rfam family "Bacterial small subunit ribosomal RNA", at positions 335 to 607 of the family's 1533-position model. The record is from RNAcentral.